Molecule: ribosomal RNA, 651 nt
Filed under: Triticum aestivum (bread wheat)
Lineage: Eukaryota; Viridiplantae; Streptophyta; Magnoliopsida; Poales; Poaceae
Description: partial small subunit ribosomal RNA
Source: RNAcentral
AUGGCAGCAUCGCCGCCGCGCCGCCGCGCCUCGCCGCCGUCGAUCCCGGACGAGCUAUUCGAAGAGAUCCUCCUCCGCCUCCCACCCGACGACCCCGCCUGCCUCCUCCGCGCCUCCCUCGUCUGCAAGGCCUGGAGCCACACCGUCUCCAGCCCCAGAUUCCGCCGCCGCCUCCACGAGCUCCACCCCACACCCCCCGUGCUCGGCGUCCUCCACAACUGGGAAUACGACGCCAUCCCCCGAUUCAUCCACACCACCGCAUCGUCCUUCUCCCUCGCCGCCCCGGACUCUCGCUCCUGGCGUGCCCUUGACUACCGCCACGGCCGCGCCCUCUUCCUCUCCAAGGGCCAGGACGCCGAGGAGCUCCUUGUGUGGGGGCCAAUCACGGGCGCCCAGCAGCGCGUACCGGUGCCCGCGGCGUUCCAGGGCGACUACCCGACGGCUGCCGUGUUCUGCGCAAUGGACGGGUGCGGCCACCGCGACUGCUUCGGGGGCCCUUUUCGGGUGGUCUUCGUCUUCUGUGUCGAUGAAGAAGACGCUGAGCUGGAUCCGUUUCUCACGUCGGCCGCCGUGUACUCGUCGGAGACCGGCAUGUGGGGCGAGCUGACCUCGAUGCACGAACAACGUCGUCAUGGUUGGGCCCGGAGGUGA